This is a long non-coding RNA of Dermochelys coriacea (leatherback sea turtle), 175 nucleotides long. RefSeq lists it as uncharacterized. Lineage: Eukaryota; Metazoa; Chordata; Testudines; Dermochelyidae. The transcript has 3 exons. The record is from RefSeq and is a predicted model, not a curated record.
UUCCCCUUCUGGAUAUGCAACUGCAUGGCUCCGCUAAUUAGGUGCCUGAACCAUGGAGAAGAUGCACAUGUAAGGUGAGGUGGUGGCCUUGGGGGGAAUAGGGUGUAGAUGGGAGGAGGCAGUGGGGUGAGAAGAGGGGGUGGGGGGAAUUUGGGAUGUGAAGGGCUGCAACGGC